AAAAAGCACAAAAACUCGUCGACUAAUCUCCCCAUUUCCAUUGCAAAUUAACCCUUUUCACCUUUUUUCCUAUUUCUUAAACCUAGGACUCAUUCUGAUUCUAGAGAUUUCUGAUAUUUUCCAUUGAAAAUUCGAGAUCAUUUUUUGUUAUUGAUAUAAUGGGAAUUUAUUGUGCAGGAAGAGGAGGUAA
This is a non-coding RNA of Caenorhabditis elegans, 190 nucleotides long. The record is from Ensembl. Lineage: Eukaryota; Metazoa; Nematoda; Chromadorea; Rhabditida; Rhabditidae.